AAGUCGUAACAAGGUUUCCGUAGGUGAACCUGCGGAAGGAUCAUUACAAAUCCGAAUAUCUACGAUUUGGAGAGAGAGAGAGAGGGAGGAUUUUCUUCUCUCUCAUUAUUCAAUCGAUCAUCUUACCUAUUGACCCUUGUACGUUAUGUAUGUUAUAUAAACAACAAAUGGAAUACCUAUUAACAAUGGAUCUCUUGGCUCUU
RNAcentral lists this unclassified non-coding RNA (203 nucleotides) under Rozellomycota sp. Its description in RNAcentral is "Cryptomycota sp. partial contains small subunit ribosomal RNA, internal transcribed spacer 1, and 5.8S ribosomal RNA". The stretch from base 1 to 46 matches the Rfam family "Eukaryotic small subunit ribosomal RNA", at positions 1786 to 1831 of the family's 1831-position model. Lineage: Eukaryota; Fungi; Rozellomycota. The record is from RNAcentral.